CGCUAUCACUCCUACGGGAGGCAGCAGUGGGGAAUUUUGGACAAUGGGGGGCAACCCUGAUCCAGCAAUGCCGCGUGUGUGAAGAAGGCCUUCGGGGUUGUAAAGCACUUUGUCCGGAAAGAAACGUUCUGGUUAAUACCUGGGGCGGAUGACGGUACCGGAAGAAUAAGCACCGGCUAACUACGUGCCAGCAGCCGCGGUAAUACGUAGGGUGCGAGCGUUAAUCGGAAUUACUGGGCGUAAAGCGUGCGCAGGCGGUUUGUAAGACAGGCGUGAAAUACCCCGGGCUUAACCUGGGAAUUGCGCUUGUGACUGCAAGGCUAGAGUGCGUCAGAGGGGGGUAGGAAUUCCACGUGUAGCAGUGAAAUGCGUAGAGAUGUGGAGGAAUACCGAUGGCGAAGGCAGCCCCCUCGGGACGUGACUGACGCUCAUGCACGAAAGCGUGGGGAGCAAACAGGAUUAGAUACCCUGGUAG
This 475-nucleotide ribosomal RNA is filed under the name uncultured bacterium. Its description in RNAcentral is "bacterial SSU rRNA". It matches the Rfam family "Bacterial small subunit ribosomal RNA", at positions 328 to 793 of the family's 1533-position model. The record is from RNAcentral.